GUUAAAGUAGUUUCUUAUCAAGAUUCCAUUUAAAAUAAAGAUUUGAAGUGUGAAAUACUACCAUAGAAUUUUUUUAUAGGAGAUUCCUAUACUAGUGAAAUGUCUUAAAUGCAUAUUAAUGUAAACAACAGUUAGAAAUUAAACUAAAUACUCUGACAAAGUCCUACUCUCUGGAAAGACAACAAUUUUACCACAACUUUGGUGCGGCCAAGAAUUCAUGCUGUCAGUGAGUUUUCAUCCUUCUGUGAUACAAGCCCCAAACACUUCUAGUAUACAAAACAGAUAAGAAUUACAUUUCAGCAUGAAAAAAAAAUGGAAGUUGCAUAAUAUUUAUUCAGUGUACUGUAGCCUUUAAUUAAAUGAAGAAUAAAAAUGAAGAUGCUUGCUUACAGAGUCUGCUGACUUCAGCUUGUUUGAAAUGGGCAGUACAAAUUGCAACAAAACUGGUUUUGAUAGGCUGAAGAGAUAAUAAAUGUAAGGCCCAUUCAGUGCACUUUCUAUGACUGCAUAGCAUUGCUCAGCAACUUUCUUGCUAGCCUCAUGCUAGCCAGUUACUUAGUUGAGUAAUCACUUCCUAUGUUUUUUCCUUCUCAAAAGCUCCAUUCAAAGAAAUUAUAUGUCUUCUCUUCCAGCUACUUCUUUGGUCUCUCUUCUUAUUGCCUGCAAGUUAUUGAGUUCUUAUUUUAGUUCCCCUGCCCUUCUAAUGCCACUCUUUGCUUAUCAGUUAUGAGAGCUGGGAUCCUUUACUCAUGAGAAUGUCAUCCUUACUGAUUUUGAAACUACAGGAGAAAACAUGCAUAUUUGUAGUCAAAAGCAUAUAUCUGUUCUACACUAUAUACCCUCUUUCACACAAAGUCUAAUUACUUCUGCUCAGCAGAUUAAUGUCCUUUUGCCUCUGCUACCAGAACAUCUUGCAAAAGGAGACUAAAGGAAUGGAUGAAGAUAGAAUGAGCACUAGAUUCCCACAAACAUUGUCCACGGAGAUUCUGAAGUCCUAAACUGGAAGAGAGGAGGAUAUCUUGUGUGGGGCUCCAACCAGUAUCUCAAAGACUGAAGUAACAGAGGCACUAUGGAUUUUGCCUACAUUUCAAACAAGAAAUAUAUGUGAUGAUUCAGAUAGAACUGAUGGCAAAUGUAGAGCUAAACAUUUCUCUGAUAUUGGCAAAGAAGUAUCCUGCACUGAUGCCAUGGACAAUGGAAAUUUUUUUCAAACUAACUGCAUGAUUAAACUGUACUUGUUUUCAUUUGAUUGUAGUGACCUUAAUACGCUUAAUACGCUGAAGUAUUUCUUUGCAAGUUGUUAAACUCCUGUUCUGUACUUUAUAUGCAGUUAUGUUCACCUGUUAGAAAGAUACCCAAUAUUUAUGAUUCUGUAGACAUCAGCAGUAGAGCUAGCAGAGAAGUCUCUUACUCAGAGCUGAAUUAAUAAACUGGCGUAGCAUCGGGGCCAUUGUGCUAGUGGAAGUUAUAUAUUUCAGAUAAGACACGUUGUUUUGCAUAACUGAACUAGUGAAUAGUAUUCAUGUUACCAGGACAUUGGAAUAAUUCAGUGAUGAGAAAGAAUAUUCCAUGGUCUCUAAUCCUACAUUAGAGGAAUCAGAUCU
Gallus gallus (chicken) is the source of this 1604-nucleotide long non-coding RNA. The record is from Ensembl. Lineage: Eukaryota; Metazoa; Chordata; Aves; Galliformes; Phasianidae.